This 370-nucleotide unclassified non-coding RNA is filed under the name uncultured fungus. Its description in RNAcentral is "partial contains 5.8S ribosomal RNA, internal transcribed spacer 2, and large subunit ribosomal RNA". The record is from RNAcentral. Lineage: Eukaryota; Fungi.
AACGCACCUUGCACCCUUUGGUAUUCCUUAGGGUAUGUCUGUCUGAGCGUCGUUCAACUCUCAAACCCAUCUUUUGGCCUUAGCGCCUUAGGGUGGCCUUCGGGGUAGUUGCUUAACCCCUGGGCUAGGUUUGGUUCAUGAGCGUUUGUCGGCUUUGGUCGGCACGCUUGAAAUGUUUAGGCAAUGGGUCACUUUGAAUAGUUCCUUUUUUGGACCUUGGCUUGAUAGUAAAAUUGAAUGGCCUUUGGACUGGGAGGGAGCGAAAGGAGAUUUUAUAGCCUUUGCUUUGCUCAACGACUUAGAGAAUCACCUUAUAGGCGAUUCUUGAACCUUUGACCUCAGAUCAGGCAGGACUACCCGCUGAACUUAA